GACACCGUAGCGCAACUGUAGCGUGUCUUACUCUAGAUCAGAAGGUUGCGUGUUCAAAUCACGUCGGAGUCA
This 72-nucleotide transfer RNA is filed under the name Echinococcus granulosus. Its description in RNAcentral is "transfer RNA-Sup". It matches the Rfam family "tRNA". From Rfam's summary of the family: Transfer RNA (tRNA) molecules are approximately 80 nucleotides in length. The record is from RNAcentral. Lineage: Eukaryota; Metazoa; Platyhelminthes; Cestoda; Cyclophyllidea; Taeniidae.